RNAcentral lists this ribosomal RNA (229 nucleotides) under uncultured bacterium. Its description in RNAcentral is "partial 16S ribosomal RNA". It matches the Rfam family "Bacterial small subunit ribosomal RNA", at positions 568 to 796 of the family's 1533-position model. The record is from RNAcentral.
UCCGUAGGCGGACUAAUAAGUCAGGGGUGAAAUACCACAGCUCAACUGUGGAACUGCCUUUGAUACUGUUAGUCUUGAAUUAUAUGGAAGUAGAUAGAAUGUGUAGUGUAGCGGUGAAAUGCUUAGAGAUUACACAGAAUACCGAUUGCGAAGGCAGUCUACUACGUAUAUAUUGACGCUAAUGGACGAAAGCGUGGGGAGCGAACAGGAUUAGAUACCCUGGUAGUCC